UGAAAUCUAGUGUAUUCGCACAAUUAAUUUUGAUUUAAUAAGAAAUUUUCAU
This 52-nucleotide transfer RNA is filed under the name Thaumamermis cosgrovei. RNAcentral describes it as "tRNA-Gln". The record is from RNAcentral. Lineage: Eukaryota; Metazoa; Nematoda; Enoplea; Mermithida; Mermithidae.